UCCCUCGUGGUCCAGUGGUUAAGACUCUGUGCUUCCACUGCAGGGAGUGCAGGUUCAAUCCCUGGUUGGGGAA
This is a non-coding RNA of Bos taurus (domestic cattle), 73 nucleotides long. NCBI's taxonomy places the organism in Eukaryota, Metazoa, Chordata, Mammalia, Artiodactyla, Bovidae. The record is from Rfam.